CUCUCAGAGAAUUAUUCCCAGGAUGAGAGGAUAAUUCUCUCACUAUAGACCAUUCAAUCUUCAGCCUCU
RNAcentral lists this small RNA (69 nucleotides) under Pongo abelii (Sumatran orangutan). Lineage: Eukaryota; Metazoa; Chordata; Mammalia; Primates; Hominidae. The record is from RNAcentral.